GUCAAAGAUAUUAAGGCUUAUGGUGGAUACCUAGGCAUCCAAAGACGAUGAAGGGCGUGGAAACCAACGAAAUGCUUCGAGGAGCUGGAAACAAGCUAUGAUUCGGAGAUUCCCGAAUAGGGCAACCUCUUGUACUUCCUUUUAAAUUCAUAGAAAGGAAAGAGAACACCCGGUGAAUUGAAACAUCUUAGUAGCCGGAGGAAAAGAAAGCAAACGCGAUUUCCUUAGUAGCGGCGAGCGAAAAGGAAACAGCCUAAACUAGUUCGAAAUUUUCGAGUUAGGGUAGUGGGAAAGAAAAAAAUUAUAAAGUCACUUAACUAGAUGAAGCAGCUGAAUCCUGCACCAUAGACGGUGAAAGUCCGGUAAUCGAAAGUUGAGUACGCUUUUAAAAAUCUUUUCCCGAGUAGCAUGGGGCACGUGAAAUCCCGUGUGAAUCAGCGAGGACCACCUCGUAAGGCUAAAUACUUUUGGAUGACCGAUAGCGAAAUAGUACCGUGAGGGAAAGGUGAAAAAGAACCUCUGUAGAGGAGUGAAAUAGAACAUGAAACCAUAAGCUUUCAAGCAGUGGGAGGGUUUGAAAACCUGACCGCGUGCCUGUUGAAGAAUGAGCCGGCGACUUAUAAGGAGUGGCUUGGUUAAAGAGUAAAAUCUGAAGCCAGAGCGAAAGCAAGUCUUAAAAGGGCAUUUUAAGGUCACUUCUUAUGGACCCGAACCCGGGUGAUCUAACCAUGGCCAGGAUGAAGCUUGGGUAAAACCAAGUGGAAGUCCGAACCGACCGAUGUUGAAAAAUCGGCGGAUGAGCUGUGGUUAGGGGUGAAAUGCCAAUCGAACUCGGAGCUAGCUGGUUCUCCCCGAAAUGCGUUGAGGCGCAGCGGUUAAUGAUGGGCGGUCUAGGGGUAAAGCACUGUUUCGGUGCGGGCUGCGAGAGCGGUACCAAAUCGUAGCAAACUAAGAAUACUAGACAAGCUUUCCAUUAACCAGUGAGACGGUGGGGGAUAAGCUUCAUCGUCGAGAGGGAAACAGCCCAGAUCACCAGCUAAGGCCCCUAAAUGACCGCUAAGUGGUAAAGGAGGUGAGAAUGCUGAAACAACCAGGAGGUUUGCUUAGAAGCAGCCACCCUUUAAAGAGUGCGUAAUAGCUCACUGGUGGAGCGUUCUUGCGCCGAAAAUGAACGGGACUAAGCGGUCUGCCGAAGCUGUGGGAUUCCAGAAAAAUUAACUUAUUAUGUGCGAAGCACUUUUAAGUUGGACUGGAAUCGGUAGGGGAGCGUUCCGCUCUAGGGUGAAGCAUCGAUGUAAAUUGAUGUGGACAAAGCGGAAGUGAGAAUGUCGGCUUGAGUAACGAAAACAUUGGUGAGAAUCCAAUGCCCCGAAAACCUAAGGGUUCCUUUACUAGGUUCGUCCAUGAAGGGUUAGUCAGGACCUAAGGCCAGACCGAAAGGUGUAGUCGAUGGAGAACAGGUUAAUAUUCCUGUACUGAUUUUUGAAUUGUACCGAGGGACGAAGGAGGCAAUAACUAACUAAUAAUGGAUUUUAGUGGAAGCGUUCGAGGUGUUGAUGGGUAGAAGAAAAACUAACCUUGAGCUGAGACGCGAUACGGUUUUAUUCCCUAAGUAGCUUUUUGUUUCUGAUAAAAGGUUACUUAUAAUAAAACUUAGUUGAUUGUCAAACUUCCUAGAAAAGCUCGAACUACGUGUAUUCAAAAAUUACCUGUACCCGAAACCGACACAGGUAGGUGGGUAGAGUAUACCUAGGGGCGCGAGAUAACUCUCUCUAAGGAACUCGGCAAAAUGGCCCCGUAACUUCGGGAGAAGGGGUGCCCCCUUUAAUGGGGGCCGCAGUGACCAGGCCCAGGCGACUGUUUACCAAAAACACAGGUCUCCGCUAAGUCGUAAGACAAUAUAUGGGGGCUGACGCCUGCCCAGUGCCGGAAGGUGAAGGAAGUUGGUUAGUUGAAGCUCGACUUCAACGACGCUGACAACCGAAGCCCCGGUGAACGGCGGCCGUAACUAUGACGGUCCUAAGGUAGCGAAAUUCCUUGUCGGGUAAGUUCCGACCCGCACGAAAGGCGUAACGAUCUGGGCACUGUCUCGGAGAGAGGCUCGGUGAAAUAGACAUGUCCGUGAAGAUGCGGACUUCCUACACCUGGACAGAAAGACCCUAUGAAGCUUUACUGUAGCCUGAAAUUGGGUUUGGGCUCCUUUUGCGCAGUCUAGGUGGGAGGCGUUGAAAACCCCCUUCCGGGGAGGUUGGAGCCAUCAGUGAGAGACCACUCUGAAGGAGCUAGAAUUCUAAUGGCGAUCCUUGAAUCAGGACGCUUGACAGUUUCAGGUGGGCAGUUUGACUGGGGCGGUCAUCUCCUAAAAGGUAACGGAGAUGUGCAAAGGUUCCCUCAGGCUGGACGGAAAUCAGCCGAAGAGUGUAAAGGCAGAAGGGAGCUUGACUGCAAGACCUACAAGUCGAGCAGGGGCGAAAGCCGGCCUUAGUGAUCCGACGGUACCGAGUGGAAGGGCCGUCGCUCAACGGAUAAAAGUUACUCUAGGGAUAACAGGCUGAUCUUCCCCAAGAGUUCACAUCGACGGGAAGGUUUGGCACCUCGAUGUCGGCUCAUCGCAACCUGGGGCGGUAGUACGUCCCAAGGGUUGGGCUGUUCGCCCAUGAAAGCGGUACGUGAGCUGGGUUCAGAACGUCGUGAGACAGUUCGGUCCAUAUCCGGUGUAGGCGUUAGAGCAUUGAGAGGAGCCUUCCAUAGUACGAGAGGACCUGGAAGGACGCACCACUAGUAUACCAGUUCUCGUUCCAACGGGAAACGCUGGGUAGCCAAGUGCGGAGCGGAUAACUGCUGAAAGCAUCUAAGUAGGAAGCCCACCUCAAGAUGAGUGCUCUCCAGAGGUCACGGCAAGACAAGCCGUUUGAUAGGUAUCAAGUGUAAGGCCAGCAAUGGUUUUAGCUGAGAUGCACUAAUAGACCGAUAGAAUUUGAC
Molecule: ribosomal RNA, 2982 nt
Filed under: Myrmecia israelensis
Lineage: Eukaryota; Viridiplantae; Chlorophyta; Trebouxiophyceae; Trebouxiales; Trebouxiaceae
Description: LSU rRNA
Rfam family: Bacterial large subunit ribosomal RNA
Source: RNAcentral